UGCUGCCAAGAAAAGUUCCUAGCGAGGUUCUAGCCGCCCGUACCCCAAACCGACUCAGGUGGUCAGGUAGAGAAUACCAAGGCGCUUGAGAGAACGAUGCUGAAGGAACUCGGCAAAUUACCUCCGUAACUUCGGGAGAAGGAGGCCUCACUCUAGGCAACUAGAACUGAGGGGCACAGACCAGGGGGUUGCGACUGUUUAUCAAAAACACAGGGCUCUGCGAAGCCGCAAGGCGACGUAUAGGGUCUGACGCCUGCCCGGUGCCGGAAGGUUAAAAGGAGAUGUGAGAGCGUCGAAUUGAAGCCCCGGUGAACGGCGGCCGUAACAAUAACGGUCCUAAGGUAGCGAAAUUCCUUGUCGGGUA
Molecule: ribosomal RNA, 364 nt
Filed under: Thalassiosira minuscula
Lineage: Eukaryota; Bacillariophyta; Thalassiosirophyceae; Thalassiosirales; Thalassiosiraceae
Description: partial Bacterial large subunit ribosomal RNA
Rfam family: Bacterial large subunit ribosomal RNA
Source: RNAcentral